UCCCUACGGGGGGCAGCAGUGAGGAAUAUUGGUCAAUGGGCGGAAGCCUGAACCAGCCAAGUCGCGUGAGGGAAUAAGGCCCUACGGGUCGUAAACCUCUUUUGUCAGGGAACAAAGGCGGGGACGUGUCCCCGGAUGAGUGUACCUGAAGAAAAAGCAUCGGCUAACUCCGUGCCAGCAGCCGCGGUAAUACGGAGGAUGCGAGCGUUAUCCGGAUUUAUUGGGUUUAAAGGGGGCGCAGGCGGGCUGUUAAGGCAGCGGUCAAAUCCCGGGGCUCAACCCCGGCCCGCCGUUGCAACUGGCAG
This 305-nucleotide ribosomal RNA is filed under the name uncultured bacterium. RNAcentral describes it as "bacterial SSU rRNA". It matches the Rfam family "Bacterial small subunit ribosomal RNA", at positions 335 to 639 of the family's 1533-position model. The record is from RNAcentral.